AUUUAUUUAAUUCAUUUAUUUUGUGUUUUAUUUGUUAUGUUUUUUUCUUUUCUUUGUUUUUUCUUUUCUUUCUUUUCUUUGUUUUUUUCUUUUUUUUGUUUUUUCUUUUUUCAUGAGUUUGUUUAUAUAUAUAAAUUUCAUUGCUGCCGUUUCAUGUUUUUUACAUUUUUAUGUAGUGUCAAUUUUAUCUGCAUUUCCAUAACAGAUUGUAUCUUUAAAAAUUUAUAUGUAUGCAUGUAUUUUUCGUCUCUUUGCUACUAGUUUCAUUAUUGCAUAUAUUUUAAUUAAUUUUUUUUAUUCUUUUUGUUUAUGUAUUUGGGUGUAAUUCUAUUUUUCUGUUCUAUUUUUUUUUGUUGCCAUCCCUUAUUAACAGGUAUUCUUAAUAAAAUACCUUUUAAUUGGGGAUGAAAAAAAAGAAAAAAGAAAAAAUGAAUAUAUAAACCCAAACUGGCAUGGGAAGAGAUUCUCACCCUGAACCCUCCUAGUAGCUGAUUUUGUUCUCAUUAGUAGUUAAAUUUUAAUUGUGAUAAUAAAAAAUUUAAAGAAAAUAAAACAAUAGCUUAUGGUUUGACUCUUUAUUUUUUUUUUUGUGUAGCAAUUAAAAACGAACAUGGGGUUGCAUAUUGGUUUAGAGCGGAAGGACCCAUAAUGUCGCGUUGUUAUUUAAAGCUCAUAAACUUUUUGUAUUUUUGAAAUAAAAUUAAAGUAAAUUAAAAUGGUCUCAUUUUAUAUUUGUCUUUUUUUUUUCAAAAAAAAUCAAAAAGAGCCAUAUGCUUCAAUCAGUAUACUUAAAUGCUGCGCUAUUUUAUCUCUCAAGUCAACCAGGAGAUAUAUAUAUUUUUUUAUUAUAUCGUUGUAAGAAUGAAAAACAUUUAUUUAAAGCUUCUUUUUAUAUAUCCACAAAUGUAUAAGAAGAAUGUUAUACAUAAAUAUUUUUCAUUAUUAUGGCGUAAAAAAUUAAUGUAAAUUAAAUAUAAUAAAAAAACGUGGAGAAUUAAUACAACGUACAUAUAUGUAUACAUAAUUAAGAUAUAUUUAUCUUUAUAUAAUCACAUAUUAAUAUUAUUAAUGUGUGAGCAUAUAUUGUUGUAUUUUUUCAAAGCAAGAAGGAAUAAUACGUAAAAUUAAUUUUUUACUAAAUUACUCCUUAUAUAUGGUUGGUAUCUAUCGGCAUUUUUCUUCUCUUUUUUAUAGCUAUGAAAAUUAUGUAUAUUCAUAAUUUUCCAGUAAAAAAAGAAUGAAGAAAAAUGUUUUAGUUUCAUGAAGCAGUUAGCUCUGCGUGUAUACAAUAACAGGUUGUUACAUCACAAUCAUGAAUUCGAUAGAAAAACAAAGGCUUGGUAGCAUCCCAAUUAUGGAGUGUUACGUAAAUUCGAACUGCCUCUAUAAAGAUUACAAAAGAGAAAUAC
Plasmodium yoelii is the source of this 1409-nucleotide non-coding RNA. The record is from RefSeq and is a predicted model, not a curated record. Lineage: Eukaryota; Apicomplexa; Aconoidasida; Haemosporida; Plasmodiidae.